Toxotes jaculatrix (banded archerfish) is the source of this 1255-nucleotide long non-coding RNA. RefSeq lists it as uncharacterized. The record is from RefSeq and is a predicted model, not a curated record. NCBI's taxonomy places the organism in Eukaryota, Metazoa, Chordata, Actinopteri, Toxotidae. The transcript is spliced from 5 exons.
ACGGUGACGGGCUAGCGCUAGCUCGCGUUAGCUGUUGACAUUAGCCGCUCAACUCCCGCACGGAAAUCUGCACGAAAUGCGCAGAUUUACACGUGCAAACCGAGCUUCGCCUUCGACUAAAACACGACCGUGAAUUGUUAAAUGUCGAAUGGCCGCUGGCAACGUGCCUGGCAUAACAUAAAAGCGGCUAUCGGAGCUCACCCACACGCUCCUGUACAAUGCUAACCUAGCUAGAUCACUAGCUAGCUAGCGCAAAUUGCCAAAGACACAACUAGUAAAGUUAACGUGCCCGCAAACGGACUACCACCAUUUUCUAUACAGAGCGCUGUAACGUUACACACGAGUAGUUUACACCUGGUGUCACCGCGUGUUGUUUAAUCGUGACUACAUACCUGCAGUGUGCAGUGACAGUCCGGCGCUUGUGAGUUUCAGGCAGAUGGAUGCAGCAGGAAGCCCUCAGUGUAACGCACCCAACCUGGUGCUGUCGAGCCCCAGCUGCUGCAGGAUCGCCCUGACCUGCAGCAGCGCCAGACGAUCGCUGUGGAGCACGAGGGGCAGGGGGGGAGAGCAGGUCAGAGGUCAGCCAACAGCAGGAGAGUCACCGGAUAUCUCACAGCUGUUCCCAGAGGCUAAGGAACUUUGUCUCGAAGAUGCCCCUGGUCUUCAACGUCUCUGAGAUUUGUCCCCGGAAGAGGAAGCCACGCUUGGUCAGAUCAAUCAGAAUCUGCCUGACGAUCUCUCCCAGGAAUGGACCUGACGAAGGUGGGCAGCAUCUUGACGGUGGCGGUGGGGUUCGUGUCGCGGCUGAGCCCGUUCUCCAUCUCCCUGCGGAACCGGUUCAUGAUGUCCUUCAGCGUCUCGUCCGAGAAACGCAUGGAGUACAGGAGGGGCCAUAUAUGGGAGGAGGAUGAUUCUCUGGAGUCAGUCCAUCAUCACACAGAGAGCCACGCUUGGGUUAGUUUUUCUUUUAUUUGCAUUGUUUUGAGUUAUCUAAUUAAUUUUUUACAUCUUGCUUUUUUUUUCUGUUCCACUACUUUUAUUUUUCUUUUUUUCUUUUCUUAUAUUUUGUCCCAUGACUCGACCUAAACCUUUCCAAACUGCUUGUCUGGUCUAGAGUCAGUCACCUGACUUCACUAUGACUGUAACACAGUGUCUUUCCUGAUUCUUCCACUAGGGGUCACCAAAAUCUGGCAUUUCUCAACCCUGCACUUUGGGGCUGUAGAAGGACAUAAAACAUCAUUUUGAGGGUUUAAUA